GCAUACGGUGGAUGCCUUGGCAGUCAGAGGCGAUGAAGGACGUUGGAGCUUGCGAAAAGUCUCGGGGAGGUAGCAACCGACCUUUGAUCCGGGAAUGUCCGAAUGGGGAAACCCACCCAAUGUAAGUUGGGUAUCUCUUACUGAAUACAUAGGUAAGGGAGGCGAACGCGGGGAACUGAAACAUCUAAGUACCCGCAGGAAAAGAAAUCAACUGAGAUUCCCCCAGUAGCGGCGAGCGACCGGGGAAGAGCCUGCACGUAAUAGCUUUUGGGUUAGUGGAACGGUCUGGAAAGUCCGGCGAUAGAGGGUGAUAGCCCCGUACACGAAAACCUGGGAGUGGUACUGAGCGUGCGAUAAGUAGGUCGGGACACGUGAUAUCUUGACUGAAGACGGGGGGACCAUCCUCCAAGGCUAAAUACUCCUGACUGACCGAUAGUGAACCAGUACCGUGAGGGAAAGGCGAAAAGAACCCCGGAGAGGGGAGUGAAAUAGAACCUGAAACCGUGUGCGUACAAGCAGUGGGAGCCCUUCGGGGUGACUGCGUACCUUUUGUAUAAUGGGUCAGCGAGUUAAUUUUGCGAGCAAGCUUAAGCCGUUAGGUGUAGGCGUAGCGAAAGCGAGUCUUAAUAGGGCGACUAAGUUUGUUGGAUUAGACCCGAAACCGAGUGAUCUAGGUAUGAGCAGGUUGAAGGUGCAGUAACAUGCACUGGAGGACCGAACCCACGCCUGUUGAAAAAGGCGGGGAUGACUUGUGCCUAGGGGUGAAAGGCCAAUCAAACUCGGAAAUAGCUGGUUCUCCGCGAAAUCUAUUUAGGUAGAGCG
RNAcentral lists this ribosomal RNA (822 nucleotides) under uncultured Symbiodinium. RNAcentral describes it as "partial Bacterial large subunit ribosomal RNA". It matches the Rfam family "Bacterial large subunit ribosomal RNA", at positions 17 to 881 of the family's 2925-position model. The record is from RNAcentral. Lineage: Eukaryota; Dinophyceae; Suessiales; Symbiodiniaceae.